Molecule: ribosomal RNA, 496 nt
Filed under: uncultured bacterium
Lineage: Bacteria
Description: partial 16S ribosomal RNA
Rfam family: Bacterial small subunit ribosomal RNA
Source: RNAcentral
GAUGAACGCUGGCGGCGUGCCUAAUACAUGCCAGUCGAGCGAACAGACGAGGAGCUUGCUCCUCUGACGUUAGCGGCGGACGGGUGAGUAACACGUGGAUAACCUACCUAAAGACUGGGAUAACUUCGGGAAACCGGAGCUAAUACCGGAUAAUAUAUUGAACCGCAUGGUUCAAUAGUGAAAGACGGUUUUGCUGUCACUUAUAGAUGGAUCCGCGCCGCAUUAGCUAGUUGGUAAGGUAACGGCUUACCAAGGCAACGAUGCGUAGCCGACCUGAGAGGGUGAUCGGCCACACUGGAACUGAGACACGGUCCAGACUCCUACGGGAGGCAGCAGUAGGGAAUCUUCCGCAAUGGGCGAAAGCCUGACGGAGCAACGCCGCGUGAGUGAUGAAGGUCUUCGGAUCGUAAAACUCUGUUAUUAGGGAAGAACAAAUGUGUAAGUAACUAUGCACGUCUUGACGGUACCUAAUCAGAAAGCCACGGCUAACUACGUG